RNAcentral lists this transfer RNA (76 nucleotides) under Candidatus Aminicenantes bacterium ADurb.Bin508. RNAcentral describes it as "tRNA-Arg". It matches the Rfam family "tRNA". From Rfam's summary of the family: Transfer RNA (tRNA) molecules are approximately 80 nucleotides in length. Lineage: Bacteria; Candidatus Aminicenantota. The record is from RNAcentral.
UGCGCCCGUAGCUCAACUGGAUAGAGCGCUUGACUACGAAUCAAAAGGUUGGGUGUUCGAAUCACCCCGGGCGCAU